GGGACACGUGGUAUCCUGUCUGAAUAUGGGGGGACCAUCCUCCAAGGCUAAAUACUCCUGACUGACCGAUAGUGAACCAGUACCGUGAGGGAAAGGCGAAAAGAACCCCGGCGAGGGGAGUGAAAAAGAACCUGAAACCGUGUACGUACAAGCAGUGGGAGCCUCUUAAUGGGGUGACUGCGUACCUUUUGUAUAAUGGGUCAGCGACUUAUAUUCUGUAGCAAGGUUAACCGAAUAGGGGAGCCGAAGGGAAACCGAGUCUUAACUGGGCGUUAAGUUGCAGGGUAUAGACCCGAAACCCGGUGAUCUAGCCAUGGGCAGGUUGAAGGUUGGGUAACACUAACUGGAGGACCGAACCGACUAAUGUUGAAAAAUUAGCGGAUGACUUGUGGCUGGGGGUGAAAGGCCAAUCAAACCGGGAGAUAGCUGGUUCUCCCCGAAAGCUAUUUAGGUAGCGCCUCGUGAAUUCAUCUCCGGGGGUAGAGCACUGUUUCGGCAAGGGGGUCAUCCCGACUUACCAACCCG
Molecule: ribosomal RNA, 525 nt
Filed under: Escherichia coli
Lineage: Bacteria; Pseudomonadati; Pseudomonadota; Gammaproteobacteria; Enterobacterales; Enterobacteriaceae
Description: partial 23S ribosomal RNA
Rfam family: Bacterial large subunit ribosomal RNA
Source: RNAcentral